AGGUUUGUAGCUAAAGGUCUAGCUUGUUUUAUAAUUAAAACAGAUUAACUGUUCAAUUCAGUUCGAACCUA
Molecule: transfer RNA, 71 nt
Filed under: Phanerochaete carnosa
Lineage: Eukaryota; Fungi; Basidiomycota; Agaricomycetes; Polyporales; Phanerochaetaceae
Description: tRNA-Tyr
Source: RNAcentral